Molecule: ribosomal RNA, 300 nt
Filed under: uncultured bacterium
Lineage: Bacteria
Description: bacterial SSU rRNA
Rfam family: Bacterial small subunit ribosomal RNA
Source: RNAcentral
CGUGAGAAUUUACCUUUAGGAGGGGAGUAACAAUACGGAACGAAUAGCUAAUAACCCACUAUGCUUUCGUAGUGAAAUAGGAGUUUAUUAUUUAUUCCGCCUAGAGAGAAGCUCGCGGCUGAUUAGCUUGUUGGUAAGGUAAGAGCUUACCAAGGCGACGAUCAGUAUCUGGUUUGUAGAGGACGAUCAGACACACUGGAACUGAGACACGGUCCAGACUCCUACGGGAGGGCAGCAGUGGGGAAGUUUUCCGUCAAUGGGCGGAAAGACCUGACGGAGCAAUACCGCGUGAGGGAAGAC